Molecule: transfer RNA, 71 nt
Filed under: Gammaproteobacteria bacterium RBG_16_37_9
Lineage: Bacteria; Pseudomonadati; Pseudomonadota; Gammaproteobacteria
Also listed under: 1 other name
Description: tRNA-Gly
Rfam family: tRNA
About the family: Transfer RNA (tRNA) molecules are approximately 80 nucleotides in length. Their secondary structure includes four short double-helical elements and three loops (D, anti-codon, and T loops). Further hydrogen bonds mediate the characteristic L-shaped molecular structure. tRNAs have two regions of fundamental functional importance: the anti-codon, which is responsible for specific mRNA codon recognition, and the 3' end, to which the tRNAs corresponding amino acid is attached (by aminoacyl-tRNA synthetases). tRNAs cope with the degeneracy of the genetic code in two manners: having more than one tRNA (with a specific anti-codon) for a particular amino acid; and 'wobble' base-pairing, i.e. permitting non-standard base-pairing at the 3rd anti-codon position.
Source: RNAcentral
GCGGGUGUAGUUCAAUGGUAGAACUUCAGCCUUCCAAGCUGAUAGCGUGGGUUCGAUUCCCAUCGCCCGCU